This 400-nucleotide ribosomal RNA is filed under the name uncultured bacterium. RNAcentral describes it as "bacterial SSU rRNA". It matches the Rfam family "Bacterial small subunit ribosomal RNA", at positions 355 to 771 of the family's 1533-position model. The record is from RNAcentral.
UAGGGAAUUUUGCGCAAUGGGCGAAAGCCUGACGCAGCAACACCGCGUGAACGAAGAAGCCCCUUGGGGUGUAAAGUUCUGUCAGUGGGGACGAAGCCUGACGGUACCCACAGAGGAAGCAUCGGCUAACUACGUGCCAGCAGCCGCGGUAAGACGUAGGAUGCGAGCGUUGUCCGGAAUCAUUGGGCGUAAAGAGUUCGUAGGCGGCAUAUCAAGUCUGGUGUUAAAGACCGAGGCUCAACCUCGGAUGGGCACUGGAAACUGGUAAGCUAGAGUGCAGUAGAGGCAAGGGGAAUUCCUAGUGUAGCGGUGAAAUGCGUAGAUAUUAGGAGGAACACCGGUGGCGUAAGCGCCUUGCUGGGCUGUUACUGACGCUGAGGAACGAAAGCCAGGGGAGCGA